This 541-nucleotide ribosomal RNA is filed under the name Betta miniopinna. Its description in RNAcentral is "partial 16S ribosomal RNA". It matches the Rfam family "Bacterial large subunit ribosomal RNA", at positions 1856 to 2597 of the family's 2925-position model. RNAcentral also lists the same sequence under 1 other name. The record is from RNAcentral. Lineage: Eukaryota; Metazoa; Chordata; Actinopteri; Anabantiformes; Osphronemidae.
CGCCUGCCCUGUGACAAAAGGUUUAACGGCCGCGGUAUUUUGACCGUGCAAAGGUAGCGCAAUCACUUGUCUUUUAAAUGAAGACCUGUAUGAAUGGCAUCACGAGGGCUUAACUGUCUCCUUUUUCAAGUCAAUGAAAUUGAUCCCCCCGUGCAGAAGCGGGGAUAUAACCAUAAGACGAGAAGACCCUAUGAAGCUUUAGAUACAAAACAGACCUUGUUAAACACUUCAAAACAAAGAAAUAAACUAAGAGGAUCCCUGUUUUAAUGUCUUUGGUUGGGGCGACCACGGGGGAACAAAAAGCCCCCAUGCGGACUGAGAAAACAAUUCUCACAACCAAGAGCUACAACUCUAGUUAACAGAACUUCUGACCUUGAGAUCCGGCAAUGCCGAUCAACGGACCGAGUUACUCUAGGGAUAACAGCGCAAUCCCCUUUUAGAGUUCAUAUCGACAAGGGGGUUUACGACCUCGAUGUUGGAUCAGGACAUCCUAAUGGUGCAGCAGCUAUUAAGGGUUCGUUUGUUCAACGAUUAAAGUCCU